GAUGAACGCUGGCGGCGUGCCUAAUACAUGCAAGUCGAGCGAACGGACGAGAAGCUUGCUUCUCUGAUGUUAGCGGCGGACGGGUGAGUAACACGUGGAUAACCUACCUAUAAGACUGGGAUAACUUCGGGAAACCGUAGCUAAUACCGGAUAAUAUUUUGAACCGCAUGGUUCAAAAGUGAAAGACGGUCUUGCUGUCACUUAUAGAUGGAUCCGCGCUGCAUUAGCUAGUUGGUAAGGUAACGGCUUACCAAGGCAACGAUGCAUAGCCGACCUGAGAGGGUGAUCGGCCACACUGGAACUGAGACGCGGUCCAGACUCCUACGGGAGGCAGCAGUAGGGAAUCUUCCGCAAUGGGCGAAAGCCUGACGGAGCAACGCCGCGUGAGUGAUGAAGGUCUUCGGAUCGUAAAACUCUGUUAUUAGGGAAGAACAUAUAUGGAAGUAACUGUGCACAUCGUGACGGUACCUAAUCAGAAAGCCACGGCUAACUACGUG
RNAcentral lists this ribosomal RNA (497 nucleotides) under uncultured bacterium. RNAcentral describes it as "partial 16S ribosomal RNA". It matches the Rfam family "Bacterial small subunit ribosomal RNA", at positions 28 to 507 of the family's 1533-position model. The record is from RNAcentral.